RNAcentral lists this ribosomal RNA (201 nucleotides) under uncultured bacterium. RNAcentral describes it as "partial 16S ribosomal RNA". It matches the Rfam family "Bacterial small subunit ribosomal RNA", at positions 328 to 539 of the family's 1533-position model. The record is from RNAcentral.
ACGCUCGACACCUACGGGAGGCAGCAGUGGGGAAUAUUGGGCAAUGGGCGAAAGCCUGACCCAGCAACGCCGCGUGAGGGAAGAAGGUUUUCGGAUUGUAAACCUCUGUCCUCAGGGACGAAGGACGUGACGGUACCUGAGGAGGAAGCCCCGGCUAACUACGUGCCAACAGCCGCGGUAAUCUGAGCGGGCUGGCAAGGC